Long non-coding RNA from Cyprinus carpio carpio, 2104 nucleotides. NCBI's taxonomy places the organism in Eukaryota, Metazoa, Chordata, Actinopteri, Cypriniformes, Cyprinidae. The record is from Ensembl.
UACACACGCACACACAAAGAGAGAGAGAGAAUAACAAUAGAAAAUGUGAUGGUUGCUAUUUGCAAUCUUGAGUGAUAGGAAGUCCUAAAGGGUCCAAAUAAACCUGCAGAGAAUUUAUGUUACACAGGCAUUCAUCACAUGUGACAGUAUUUAGAAUGAAUCACACUGGCACUACUGUAUGAUAGUAAUUACUUUAAUGUAAUGUUGCAGUGCCUGUUGAAGGCUAGCGGAAUGCAGCAAAAUAGUGCUAUGCACCAUGUGCUAUGACAGCACUGUGUUGAACACAUCCAUAGUGCUCAUUUAUAUGAGUAGUUUUUAUGCAAAUCAAAAAGCCCAUAGCAUGUAAUGGGGAAACUAAAUGUGACCGUGAAAGCUAAACUGAUAUGGGAAAUUAUAUUUCUUAUUUUGCUAAUUAUGGGCAGUGUCAACCUCAGUACAGCGAAUAAACGAACAGAAUGACAGUUAAGUUCAGACUACAGAAUGUGUCAUGUGUGGUUUAAUACUUCAAAUUGUAGAUCUUACAUGCUGUUGCCUACAGUGUUUGAAAAGAAGCACAAAAAUUACCAAGUGCAAAUCCAUGCGUGGAUGUUUCCUGUAUCCCUCAUAUUUUAACCUGCUUGAAUUAGAAGAACAUACAGUAGGCUAGAGCUAUCUGAAAACAUCUGUAGGACAUGGAGUACCCUGCCCUGUAGCAGUUAUUUGGGGAAUUUUACUUUUCCUAAGAAUUGUUUUUUAUCCUUUUUUGUAAAUCUGAAUGGUUUACAUAUUCUAGAAUGACCAAAUGGCCUGUCAUGUGGAGUAAAUUUAACAGUAACAGUGUUUCAAAGUAAGCACUUACAACCAAGGCAAUUUUCCUUAUAAACUAUUAUUGGUUUAAUUUACAUAAUAUUAAACUAUUAUUGGUUUGAUUUACAUAUUAUAAAUCAUAAAAAUAAUACUAAUAAUAAAAAAUAAAAAAACAUGACAAGCCUUGUUAAUGAAAUGCUGGCAAUACAAUUAAUUCUAACAAAUAUUAACUGAAAUUUAUAGAGAUCCUGCUUUGGGGUAGCUCUAAAACAGAAGUUCAGUUUUGUUAGCAAAGGAUUCAAUUUCUUCAGCUUGCAUCAGAUGAAAGAGGCUAAACUCAAGAGAAGGAUUCAUUUACUUAUUUAAAAAACUAACUACUAAGAUACUUGAAUCUAAAAGCAAGUCUAGCUAGUUAGAGAAGAACAUAAGUAAUUCUGUGUCUUUUGAAUUUUCACAAUCCUUUCAUUUUCAAAGGAUAUGUGUUGAAUUGGAAUUAAUGACUUAGCUUUACUGAUUUUACAAAUAGCCAUAUGGAAGGUAGAUUGUACUUAAUUCUUGAUAAUUAUGCUACCAUAUGUUUUGUUUUAGUAUCUUUUUAUUUAAAACAGAAAAAUUGUUAAAUGCAAAGCUGUACAGCUCCACAAUUAUGCACCACUUCUAGUGAAUAAGAAUUAGAAAUCAAGGUUUCAAAUAAAACAAUAUCUAUAAUAAAUGUGAACAGAUAAUGGCUGUAUUCAGUGCUUAAAGAGUAUCAGGUCCAGUCUGAAAGACAUUUAAAAAAAUAAAGAAUCUAUUAAUGUGAAGUAGAUAGAUUCAUUUACAAAUGUCCCAGCUGAAGAAUUUCAGCAGAACUACAUUCAAGUGCAGUCUUCUUUUUUUUUUUCUGAAUAUCCCAAAAGCAUGUAAUUUCAUUAUCAAUGCAUAUGCAUCUAAAUGAGGUGUUAAAUGAAAAUAAAAGACAAAAAGUGAUGCAGAGACAUUCAGAAGUGGUUUAGAGAAAGAGAGACUGGUGUUUUUGUAAAAUCUGCCCUGAAUACCACCAGAUUGCCCCUUCUUAGUCAUGUCAAUUCUUAAACACAGAAAAUUGUGUAAAUGCACAAUGUUACUGCCCCCCCCCUUCAGUCAAAAAAAAAAAUGUAUAUGCUGUAAAUCAGUACUAUUUAUAAAACAUGUAAUAUGUAAUGUACAUGUACAUAUGUUUUAUGUUUUUAUUGUGCCAGGUACUCUGUAUGUAUGAAUUAUUUAGAUAAGAUAAAACAACUAUGUUUUUUACGCCACUUUGCCAACUGAAUGAUGCUGAAGUACUAUGUAAUAAAAC